GUGAGGGCAAUCUGGCUGUGACAUCUGUCACCCCAUUGAUCACCAGGAUUGAUUAGGCUGAUCUGGCUGGCCUAGGUGGGUGUCCCUUCCCUCCUCAGGGGAAAAAGAUGACCUUCUGCCAUAGAGGAGAACGGCUCUUGGGUCAAGGGUAUAAGAGUAGCUGCCGCUCUCCAGGUAGAACCUCCAAACAAGCUAUAAGUAAGUUUUGUUAAAUGCCACUGUAAGAAAAAUGAAUCCUAAAGACACCAUAAGCAAAAAGAAAGACAUUU
This 269-nucleotide small nuclear RNA is filed under the name Mustela putorius furo (domestic ferret). Its description in RNAcentral is "7SK RNA (ENSMPUG00000021676.1)". It matches the Rfam family "7SK RNA". Rfam says of the family: 7SK was discovered as an abundant small nuclear RNA in the mid-70s but a possible function has only recently been suggested. Two independent studies have found that 7SK RNA binds the CDK9/cyclin T complex (known as elongation factor P-TEFb). The record is from Rfam by way of RNAcentral. Lineage: Eukaryota; Metazoa; Chordata; Mammalia; Carnivora; Mustelidae.